AACGAACGCUGGCGGCAUGCCUAACACAUGCAAGUCGAACGAGACCUUCGGGUCUAGUGGCGCACGGGUGCGUAACGCGUGGGAACCUGCCCUUAGGUUCGGAAUAACUCCCCGAAAGGGGUGCUAAUACCGGAUAAUGUCUUCGGACCAAAGAUUUAUGGCCUUUGGAUGGGCCCGCGUUGGAUUAGCUAGUUGGUAGGGUAAAAGCCUACCAAGGCGACGAUGCAUAGCUGGUCUGAGAGGAUGAUCAGCCACACUGGGACUGAGACACGGCCCAGACUCCUACGGAAGGCAGCAGUGGGGAAUAUUGGACGAUGGGCGAAAGCCUGAUCCAGCAAUGCCGCGUAAGUGAUGAAGGCCUUAGGGUUGUAAAGCUCUUUUACCCGGGAUGAUAAUGACAGUACCGGGAGAAUAAGCUCCGGCUAACUCCGUG
This 433-nucleotide ribosomal RNA is filed under the name uncultured bacterium. RNAcentral describes it as "partial 16S ribosomal RNA". It matches the Rfam family "Bacterial small subunit ribosomal RNA", at positions 29 to 507 of the family's 1533-position model. The record is from RNAcentral.